GGAGGUCCGAACCCACGAGCGUUGAAAAGCUCGGGGAUGACUUGUGGGUAGCGGUGAAAUUCCAAUCGAGCCCGGAGAUAGCUGGUUCUCCCCGAAAUAGCUUUAGGGCUAGCCUCAAGGUGAGAGAUACGGAGGUAGAGCACUGAAUGUCCUAGGGGGUAUUGCACCUACCGAAGACUAUCAAACUCCGAAUGCCGUCAUCUUAUACUUGGGAGUCAGACUGUGGGUGAUAAGAUUCAUAGUCGAAAGGGCAACAGCCCAGAUCGUCAGCUAAGGUCCCUAAAUGUAAGUUAAGUGGUAAAGGAUGUGGGAUUGCACAGACAACCAGGAUGUUGGCUUAGAAGCAGCCACUCAUUCAAAGAGUGCGUAAUAGCUCACUGGUCGAGUGAUCCUGCGCCGAAGAUUUCCGGGGCUAAAACUUACUACCGAAGCUACGGCAUCAGUAAUGAUGGGUAGGGGAGCUUCCCAUACGGGUUGAAGCAUGACCGUAAGGACAUGUGGACAGUAUGGGAGUGAGAAUGUUGGCAUGAGUAGCGAGAUGUGGGUGAGAAUCCCACAGGCCGUAAACCCAAGGUUUCCAGGGGAAGGGUCGUCCGCCCUGGGUUAGUCGGGACCUAAGCUGAGGCCGAAAGGCGUAGGUGAUGGACAACAGGUUGAUAUUCCUGUACUACCGAUAACCGUUUGAGAGA
This 689-nucleotide ribosomal RNA is filed under the name Clostridioides difficile. RNAcentral describes it as "bacterial LSU rRNA". It matches the Rfam family "Bacterial large subunit ribosomal RNA", at positions 768 to 1465 of the family's 2925-position model. Lineage: Bacteria; Bacillati; Bacillota; Clostridia; Peptostreptococcales; Peptostreptococcaceae. The record is from RNAcentral.